Molecule: long non-coding RNA, 293 nt
Organism: Haliotis rubra (blacklip abalone)
Lineage: Eukaryota; Metazoa; Mollusca; Gastropoda; Lepetellida; Haliotidae
Exons: 3
Source: RefSeq, a predicted model, not a curated record
UUCUUAUCAGUCGUGGCCAUAGCCUGCUAUCUAUUUGUCGUACAUUGACUUAGGGCGAUAAGAGUUCGACCUUCAAACGGUGUGUGCCAGCCCGAUGCGAACCAACAUGGCGGACUUAAAGCUGUUGAUGAUGACCCUCUUGCUGGCGUGUGACGUCAUCAGCGGCACAGAUGAAGAGGACUUGUCUAAACGCCAGAACGUCAUAAACAGGCGAUGCUUCGAAUGCCACGAGACAGACGCGCCGUUCCAAUGUCUGACACUGGCCAAAUGUGGAAACGGUGAGGUAGGAGCGU